CUUUGAUCAUGGCUCAGGAUGAACGCUAGCUACAGGCUUAACACAUGCAAGUCGAGGGGCAGCAUGAACUUAGCUUGCUAAGUUUGAUGGCGACCGGCGCACGGGUGAGUAACACGUAUCCAACCUUCCGUUUACUCAGGGAUAGCCUUUCGAAAGAAAGAUUAAUACCUGAUAGUAUGGUGAGAUUGCAUGAUAGCACCAUUAAAGAUUUAUUGGUAAACGAUGGGGAUGCGUUCCAUUAGGUAGUAGGCGGGGUAACGGCCCACCUAGCCGACGAUGGAUAGGGGUUCCGAGAGGAAGGUCCCCCACAUUGGAACUGAGACACGGUCCAAACUCCUACGGGAGGCAGCAGUGAGGAAUAUUGGUCAAUGGGCGAGAGCCUGAACCAGCCAAGUAGCGUGAAGGAUGAAGGUCCUACGGAUUGUAAACUUCUUUUAUACGGGAAUAAAGUAUCCUACGUGUAGGAUUUUGUAUGUACCGUAUGAAUAAGCAUCGGCUAACUCCGUGCCAGCAGCCGCGGUAAUACGGAGGAUGCGAGCGUUAUCCGGAUUUAUUGGGUUUAA
This 563-nucleotide ribosomal RNA is filed under the name uncultured Bacteroidota bacterium. RNAcentral describes it as "bacterial SSU rRNA". It matches the Rfam family "Bacterial small subunit ribosomal RNA", at positions 11 to 563 of the family's 1533-position model. The record is from RNAcentral. Lineage: Bacteria; Pseudomonadati; Bacteroidota.